AACGUAGGAGGCAAGCGUUAUUCGGAUUUACUGGGCGUAAAGCGUGUGCAGGCGGUCUGGAAAGUUGGAUGUGAAAGCUCCCGGCUUAACUGGGAGAGGUCGUUCAAUACUUCUGGACUAGAGGAUGAGAGAGGGAGGUGGAAUUCCGGGUGUAGUGGUGAAAUGCGUAGAUAUCCGGAGGAACACCAGUGGCGAAAGCGGCCUCCUGGCUCAUUUCUGACGCUCAUACACGAAAGCUAGGGUAG
This 245-nucleotide ribosomal RNA is filed under the name uncultured bacterium. RNAcentral describes it as "partial 16S ribosomal RNA". It matches the Rfam family "Bacterial small subunit ribosomal RNA", at positions 524 to 768 of the family's 1533-position model. The record is from RNAcentral.